GUCCGCGUGGCCUAACGGAUAAGGCGUCUGACUUCGAAUCAGAAGAUUUCAGGUUCGAAUCCUGGUGCGGAUG
RNAcentral lists this transfer RNA (73 nucleotides) under Stegodyphus dumicola. RNAcentral's name for it is "tRNA-Arg". It matches the Rfam family "tRNA". From Rfam's summary of the family: Transfer RNA (tRNA) molecules are approximately 80 nucleotides in length. Lineage: Eukaryota; Metazoa; Arthropoda; Arachnida; Araneae; Eresidae. The record is from RNAcentral.